RNAcentral lists this ribosomal RNA (253 nucleotides) under uncultured bacterium. RNAcentral describes it as "partial 16S ribosomal RNA". It matches the Rfam family "Bacterial small subunit ribosomal RNA", at positions 524 to 776 of the family's 1533-position model. The record is from RNAcentral.
UACGUAGGUGGCAAGCGUUGUCCGGAUUUACUGGGCGUAAAGGAUGCGUAGGCGGAUUAGUAAGUCAGAUGUGAAAACCCCGGGCUCAACUUGGGGACUGCAUUUGAAACUGCUAAUCUAGAGUGCAGGAGAGGAGAGUAGAAUUCCUAGUGUAGCGGUGAAAUGCGUAGAGAUUAGGAAGAAUACCAGUGGCGAAGGCGACUCUCUGGACUGUAACUGACGCUGAGGCAUGAAAGCGUGGGGAGCAAACAGG